AAAAUAUGCCUAACGUAAAAUUUACCAGAUUAACCAUUUAAAUGUACAAUUCAGUGGCAUUAAGUACAUUCACAUUGUUGUGCAAUCGUCACCACCAUUCAUCUCUGGAACCCUCAUCUU
Sapajus apella (tufted capuchin) is the source of this 120-nucleotide long non-coding RNA. RefSeq lists it as uncharacterized. The transcript is spliced from 3 exons. NCBI's taxonomy places the organism in Eukaryota, Metazoa, Chordata, Mammalia, Primates, Cebidae. The record is from RefSeq and is a predicted model, not a curated record.